UGGGGAAUUUUGGACAAUGGGCGCAAGCCUGAUCCAGCCAUGCCGCGUGAGUGAAGAAGGCCUUCGGGUUGUAAAGCUCUUUCGGUUGGGAAGAAAUUGCCUGGGUUAAUACCUCAGGUAGAUGACGGUACCAGCAUAAGAAGCACCGGCUAACUACGUGCCAGCAGCCGCGGUAAUACGUAGGGUGCGAGCGUUAAUCGGAAUUACUGGGCGUAAAGCGUGCGCAGGCGGUUGUGUAAGUCAGAUGUGAAAUCCCCGGGCUCAACCUGGGAACUGCAUUUGAGACUGCACGGCUAGAGUGUGGCAGAGGGGGGUAGAAUUCCACGUGUAGCAGUGAAAUGCGUAGAGAUGUGGAGGAAUACCGAUGGCGAAGGCAGCCCCCUGGGCCAAUACUGACGCUCAUGCACGAAAGCGUGGGGAGCAAACAGG
RNAcentral lists this ribosomal RNA (429 nucleotides) under uncultured bacterium. Its description in RNAcentral is "bacterial SSU rRNA". It matches the Rfam family "Bacterial small subunit ribosomal RNA", at positions 355 to 776 of the family's 1533-position model. The record is from RNAcentral.